UGUCAUGUCUUAUGAAGUAGCCUGCUCUGAAAUGUACUCUAGAUAGGCUAAGGCAACAUGUAGGUUCAUAGUCUACUUCAAAGGAGAUGCUCCAAACAUCUGGGCAUGGAUGGAAAAUAAGAUGGAAUCUUUGGGAAGGCGCAGGCACCUCUCCUGUUGGCAAGAAGAAAGAUGGCAAAGAAUAUACCUCGCCUGGACAGGAAUUGGGCUCCCAAGCAGAAGUGGUAUCACAGCAGAGUCAGAAUAAAAAAUGAGGCGUUUAUUCACAGAAGCAUAGCUGUCACUCUGCACACCCCCAAAGUGAAAGCACAAAGAGAAAACUCAAAGAAGGAGGUGAAAGUAGUUCACUGUGGUGCAGAAAUGGAGUUUGGAAAUUGUUUGCAGGGGAUGAAGCCAUGACUGACUGGGAACUAACAGCACCCUUUAGUCUUGAAAUGAAUGUUUCUCAUGGCUAAAGAUUUGAAGCUUUCCAAGUACAAACAAACAAACACACCAAGAAAUCAACUGUGGCAAAUGAAUUCAAGCAUACAGCUAUGUGAAGAAACGGAUUAAGGCAAGGAACAUCCAAUAUUUCCCCAAGGUCAUUCAUUACAAGGCCCUGCCUCAGAUAACAUCUGUAUGAAUAAAAAGAACAUCUGUAUGGUACUAUAGUUUAGUGUAUCAGAGAAAUUGUAAAGAGCACUCAUUAAA
Phascolarctos cinereus (koala) is the source of this 690-nucleotide long non-coding RNA. RefSeq lists it as uncharacterized. NCBI's taxonomy places the organism in Eukaryota, Metazoa, Chordata, Mammalia, Diprotodontia, Phascolarctidae. The record is from RefSeq and is a predicted model, not a curated record.